CACGUAGGGGGCGAGCGUUGUCCGGAUUUAUUGGGCGUAAAGAGCUCGUAGGCGGCUCGGUAAGUCGGGUGUGAAACCUCCAGGCUCAACCUGGAGACGCCACCUGAUACUGCUGUGGCUAGAGUCCGGUAGGGGAGUGUGGAACUCCUGGUGUAGCGGUGAAAUGCGCAGAUAUCAGGAGGAACACCGGUGGCGAAGGCGGAUCUCUGGGCCUUGCCUGACGCUGAGGCGCGAAAGCUAGGGGAGCGAACAGG
This 254-nucleotide ribosomal RNA is filed under the name uncultured bacterium. RNAcentral's name for it is "partial 16S ribosomal RNA". It matches the Rfam family "Bacterial small subunit ribosomal RNA", at positions 524 to 776 of the family's 1533-position model. The record is from RNAcentral.